GAACGCUGGCGGCGUGCCUAAUACAUGCAAGUCGAACGGCUUUUCUAUGGAAGCUUGCUUCCACUGAGAAGAUAGUGGCGAACGGGUGAGUAACACGUGGGUAACCUGCCCAUAAGAGGGGGAUAACAUCCGGAAACGGGUGCUAAUACCGCAUAGUUUUCUUGAUUGCAUGAUUGAGAAAGGAAAGACGGCCUUUGUGCUGUCGCUUAUGGAUGGACCCGCGGCGUAUUAGUUAGUUGGUGAGGUAACGGCUCACCAAGACGAUGAUACGUAGCCGACCUGAGAGGGUGAUCGGCCACAUUGGGACUGAGACACGGCCCAAACUCCUACGGGAGGCAGCAGUAGGGAAUCUUCCGCAAUGGACGAAAGUCUGACGGAGCAACGCCGCGUGAGUGAAGAAAGGUUUUCGGAUCGUAAAACUCUGUUGUCAGAGAAGAACAAGUUGGAGAGUAACUGCUCCAGCCUUGACGGUAUCUGACCAGAAAGCCACGGCUAACUACGUGCCAGCCGCUGC
Molecule: ribosomal RNA, 514 nt
Filed under: uncultured bacterium
Lineage: Bacteria
Description: bacterial SSU rRNA
Rfam family: Bacterial small subunit ribosomal RNA
Source: RNAcentral